CACUCCUGCGGGAGGCAGCAGUGGGGAAUAUUGCACAAUGGGCGCAAGCCUGAUGCAGCCAUGCCGCGUGUAUGAAGAAGGCCUUCGGGUUGUAAAGUACUUUCAGCGGGGAGGAAGGCAAUACGGUUAAUAACCGUGUUGAUUGACGUUACCCGCAGAAGAAGCACCGGCUAACUCCGUGCCAGCAGCCGCGGUAAUACGGAGGGUGCAAGCGUUAAUCGGAAUUACUGGGCGUAAAGCGCACGCAGGCGGUCUGUCAAGUCGGAUGUGAAAUCCCCGGGCUCAACCUGGGAACUGCAUUCGAAACUGGCAGGCUUGAGUCUUGUAGAGGGGGGUAGAAUUCCAGGUGUAGCGGUGAAAUGCGUAGAGAUCUGGAGGAAUACCGGUGGCGAAGGCGGCCCCCUGGACAAAGACUGACGCUCAGGUGCGAAAGCGUGGGGAGCAAACAGGAUUAGAAACCCUAGUAGUCCCAUGA
This 475-nucleotide ribosomal RNA is filed under the name uncultured organism. Its description in RNAcentral is "partial 16S ribosomal RNA". It matches the Rfam family "Bacterial small subunit ribosomal RNA", at positions 334 to 800 of the family's 1533-position model. The record is from RNAcentral.